This 74-nucleotide transfer RNA is filed under the name Spirulina sp. RNAcentral's name for it is "tRNA-Val". It matches the Rfam family "tRNA". From Rfam's summary of the family: Transfer RNA (tRNA) molecules are approximately 80 nucleotides in length. Lineage: Bacteria; Bacillati; Cyanobacteriota; Cyanophyceae; Spirulinales; Spirulinaceae. The record is from RNAcentral. RNAcentral also lists the same sequence under 2 other names.
GGACGCAUAGCUCAGUUGGUUAGAGUGCUACGUUGACAUCGUAGAGGUCACUGGUUCGAGACCAGUUGCGUCCA